RNAcentral lists this non-coding RNA (798 nucleotides) under Pongo abelii (Sumatran orangutan). Lineage: Eukaryota; Metazoa; Chordata; Mammalia; Primates; Hominidae. The record is from RNAcentral.
AACUUAGGAUGAUCCAGCAGAAGUUACACCUGGUUGAAGGUGGUACCAUUACUGUUUUAUUCAGUGACUUUAUUGCCCUUUGGGGAGUGUGGGUGGAAUGGCGGCAGAUAUUACUUCAUGUGAUAAAAGACAAACAGAGAGUCUUCUAAAUUUUAUUUAGAAUAAAACCAGCAUGGUAGAAAUACAUCAGUGAUACAAGUGAAAAAGAACUUGAUUCCUUAAUAAAAUCACUUACAAGUGCAAAAAUGGACCCCAUAUGUGCUCUGCUUUACUUACACUCAACUCUAACCUGCGAGCAUAUUAGGAAAAAAGAAGCAAGUGCAUCCAAUAAAAUUAUUUGUAACUUAAUUUGUAUGAGGCGGGACAAGGUUGCUUUUGAUCCAAGUCUGGUAUUUCUUGGUUAACAGGGUGUAGAUUCCAGGCUUUUUGGCAACACCACAUUCAUGACCUCCAGAGACUAUGGCAUGGAAGACACCUUUACAGAUCAAGGGGCCCCCUGAGUCACCCUGGAAGGAAGAAAAAGGGCAAAUACAUGGGGUGUGGCAACAGUAAAGCUUUCUACGUGUUAAACAGAAUGAACAAAACCAACACAGAGCAGUAACUUCCUGCCAGAGAGAGCAGAAGGAGACCCUUAUAGAACAGUUGUUCCACUGGUUCAAAGGCCUCGUGUGGUUCUAUCCUUUGGACUGCCUUUCUUCAACAGCCCAGACACCUGCUCCAUCAGAUUUAUAAGCCACACCCCCUAGAGCCAUGCCAAUCAAAGCAUGGCCCGCAGACCUGUGCCAGUCUCCGAACCUG